RNAcentral lists this ribosomal RNA (470 nucleotides) under uncultured soil bacterium. RNAcentral's name for it is "bacterial SSU rRNA". It matches the Rfam family "Bacterial small subunit ribosomal RNA", at positions 26 to 495 of the family's 1533-position model. The record is from RNAcentral.
AGAUUGAACGCUGGCGGCAUGCUUUACACAUGCAAGUCGAACGGGGGCGGUGGGGCAACCCGCCAUUCAGUGGCGAACGGGUGAGUAAUGCAUCGGAACGUGUCCCGUAGUGGGGGGAUAACCCGGCGAAAGCCGGACUAAUACCGCAUAUGCUCUACGGAGGAAAGCGGGGGGACCUGAAAGGGCCUCGCGCUAUGGGAGCGGCCAUGUCCGAUUAGCUUGUUGGUGGGGUAAUGGCCUACCAAGGCGACGAUCGGUAGCUGGUCUGAGAGGAUGAUCAGCCACACUGGGACUGAGACACGGCCCAGACUCCUACGGGAGGCAGCAGUGGGGAAUUUGGACAAUGGGGGCAACCCUGAUCCAGCCAUGCCGCGUGCGGAAGAACGGCCUUCGGGUUGUAACCGUCUUUAGUCGGAAGGAAAGCACGGUGAAGACCCCGUUGUUCGUAGCGGUACGCGGAAUAAGCACCG